UUCACAUGGAGUUGUCCCUGAUGAAAGGACCAAAUGAGGAAGUUUAAGAAAAUAAAAGGAAGUUUAAAAGAAAGAGAUGAAGACGUUGUGGAGAAGAUGAAGAGAAGAAGAAGCUUAAUGGAAAUGAAAAGGAAAAGAGGAUUAGAAGAAAAAAAAGAAGGGAGAAUGAAGAAGGAUCCUAUCAUUAGAACUAAACCCC
Molecule: long non-coding RNA, 199 nt
Filed under: Elaeis guineensis (African oil palm)
Lineage: Eukaryota; Viridiplantae; Streptophyta; Magnoliopsida; Arecales; Arecaceae
Description: long non-coding RNA (EGUI_LNC076805)
Source: RNAcentral